RNAcentral lists this long non-coding RNA (276 nucleotides) under Brassica napus (rape). Its description in RNAcentral is "long non-coding RNA (BNAP_LNC011840)". Lineage: Eukaryota; Viridiplantae; Streptophyta; Magnoliopsida; Brassicales; Brassicaceae. The record is from RNAcentral.
CGAAUUAAAAGAUAACGCAACGCCUCUUUGUAUUUAAUAUUUAUAUAAGGAUUUUUUUUUGGUAGAACAUAUUUUUUGUAAAACAUUUUGUAUGUGUAUACCUAGCAUUUAUACACUUUCCUUUUUUGGUAAUUAGUAUCACUGUACACUUAACCAUUAAAGGAAGAUAAUACAAUGCAAUUGUCUUUUUCAGCGAGCUCAAAGCCAUUUAUAAGAUUGUUUGCUUCUCCAACUCUGCUCUCUCACUACUUUGUUCUUGAUUUUCUCUCUCUCUCU